UAGGAUCUUCCCUUUCUUUAAAAAAAUAUAUGUAUUACAAAAGGCAUGUUUUUUUAUCCUCAAAACCAAAAAUUACUUUUCUUAUUGCUCAACAAAAAUGACAUGGCAUACAGAGAAGCGUUGUUUGGCUUUCAUAAAAGAGAAAAAUGAGAAACAGCAGAACCAUAACUGUAAUUUACAGUACAGUAUUUCAGAACAAGUGAUGGUUAAAACAACACAUAAAACUUGGCUGCCACAAGUAACCCUCCCUCCAAAAAUGCUGUCUGUUGGGAAUAAACAUGCUCUUCUAACUGUUCCUAACAACCACUGUGUUCAGGUCUGGUAUUUGAGAGAACUAGAAGGGUAUACUCAACAGCUUGCCUCUGUCUGCCCCAGUAAAGCAGAACAUUUCAAAGACUGAUGUCCCAACAUCUUUUCAUCUACCCAUUCCUAAUCUGUCACACAUCACAUAAUGAAUCCUCCAAUUAAAGACACUAAUGCCAAAUCACUACAGGUGUUAAAAGCUUGGCAGACCUUGAAUGAGAGUGUUCUAUCUGUAACAAUUAACCCAAAGGCAAUACCUGAAGGCUUUGAAGAAACCACGAGAAAGUCACAAGUGAAAUGUCAAACACUCACAAUGGUCACUGAGAGGUACAAAUCGCACUGCAUGUUAUCUCUUUCUGUAGGGAAAGCUCAAACUCACUUCUGAAGUUCUCUUCUGUGAAAAAAUUAGAUUUCAAAACUUGUUAUCUGGCAAGUGGUGACGGAGAUGGCUAGGAGAUUGGUACAAACCGCUGCCAGAAGCUGUGUCUCAAUGUGUCGGAGACCAGGAACAUAAUGAAAAGGCAGUCGUGUGUGAUAGAAAGUGACAGGUUGGUAGAAAUGGGCAGAGAUUAAACACUGAAGCCACUAGAGAGGGAGGACAUGCGACAUCAAGCCUGCCUCUCCUACAUGGAUCAAUAAAUACGUAGAGGAGUUGCAGGUAGGCAGCAUCUUGCCUGAUUUAAACCCCCCCAUGAAGAUAAUCAAUUUUUAUCAGUGACUGAUCGGUGACUGAUCACUGAGCGGUGAAGACUGAGUAAUUUAAGCAACUCUCUUUUCUGUUAGGGACUGUAAAGCGCUGAUAUCAGCAAGGAACUGGACUUGUACAAAAGUUACAUUUUCAUUCCCCCUUUUAAUUUGAUACCGAAUCUUAUAUUUAACUGGGACUUUAGGGGCUUUGUUGCCAUGGAGACGGACAGUAUCCAAUGUCAGACAUGGUACAUUUCGAAAGAGAAUGUGGUUACCCUGGAAACAGCCACAUGAGUGAGCUGAAGCCUCGAAGGAAGAAGGGAAAAAAAACAAAACAAAGACAUUCAACAAGAUAGAGACAGCAUGAUGACAUUCAUUACAAUCAUUUUAAAUGUCUCAACAAACCAUUUGGUUGAUGAGGACGGAUGGACUGUUGGAUUUGAUCCUGAAAUAGUGCAAAGACAUGCGUCAUUCACUGCUAACCAGAGAAGAAAUCUGAGUUGACGUCUAAGGAAGAAAAUAACCACUUCUGAAGAACUUGACCUCAACCUGCUUGUCCAUCUACAGUGUUCUUAAUAGGCCACCUGCAGACAAACAUGAAUACGUUGCCAUAAAGUGUUUUUGUGCAAACACAAUGUCUGAGCAUGUUUCUUUUCAACAACCUCAAAGCACCUGAGCCACCAGGAUUACCUGCUGGUGAAAAGGAGACUCUAGAAGACUGAUGACUGAUUUAAAUGACAGCUGUUAAACCAGCAUAAAUACAUAAAGGUCCAAUCACCGUGAGAAAUUGACACACCACCAACUACUUCACUGAUUUUGGUGAAACUGGAUCAUAUUUGAGGGAAGAAAUGUUUUCUACUUUUCCCCUCUGAUGUCCUCCGACUGCUCUGCUUCAACUCUCAGUGAUUUACAGAGAUUCCUGAUGGACAGUUAAGUAAACUGCUGGGAGCUGUAGCUGCUGUUACCUAAUGUUAGCUCAGGCUGUUAGCCAGGCAGUGAGCUCACAACACUGGGGGGACUGCAAGUGUUUGUACCACAGGUGUUUUGGACCACCGGGAAGAGAAGGUGUUCAGGGAAUGAGGGAAUGCUGACGGGAAACGGAGGAGAUGGUGUUGUGCCACUAGAACACCGAAGCUGGGCGAGCGAGCAAUGUAACCGCGCUCAGCAGCUUCUAUGAACAUAAUGACAGAGACAAAGAGACCAAAGAGAACAAUGGUGGAAGCUAAGGAGAGCGUGACGAGCAAGAAGCUGUCGUGUAAGAGUAAAUCUGGGACUGACUUUUAGUUGGCGAGAGUCUUGUGAAAUAAAAAGCUGAAAGAGAGACGACAAACUGGGCUUCUUGCUGUUGGAUAAGUAAGUAAUAUAAACUGGCUGCCAUGUCUUGUGUUGUUACACUUUUUGAUCAUAAGCAUUAUAACCAUGACAAAUACACUCUGAAACUGGGGGGACUAAAUUGCAAAAAUACCAAUGUGGCUAUACUGUCUAGAAGAGAUCAUAGAUAGCCUUUUUUUUAGAAAAUGUUUUUCUGAGCCAUUGAAAAAUUGUUUAUUCACUGUUCUGUGAAAUCUCUGACUCCAGUCUUAGUAUUGUGUAGCCAUGUUAGUGUUAAAGUCUUGUCUGUAUGCUGUUCAACCUAAUUUUCUUUCUAAAUGUUGAGCUGCAAGCCUAACAUUAGGGAGGCCAUUUGUAUACCCGAUACUUGAUUGUUUUGCCUUGUCUGUACAUCUCAAAAUAUUUUCUGCCAACACAGAGUUAUUUUAUGUAUGAUGUUCUUCUCGUUUUUCAUUACUUCUUCUAUUUUUACUUUAGGUGCAAACAGCAUAAAUAUUGAAGACUCAGAUACUAUUGUGCUUUCUUCAUAGCCAAGCAUAACCAUGUCUCCCUGACUUCAGAACAAAGCUUAAUCACAAAACUGCUGAGCUUCGAGUCGAUCCUAAUCACAUACUGAAAAGAGGUUUAUGAAGGGGUGAUAGUGCGCCGACCAAUCAGGCACACAUUCAGGCAACUUCUCUCUUUAGCUGUCAAAGUCAUGACUAGUACGAAUGCAUAUUGGGAUUAGGCAGUGGAAAAUGUGUGUGACGAGAGAGCAUCAAGCAGAUUAACCAAUACAUAAAAGAGGCUGCCCUUGUAAAACAACUACAGAAUCACCACACACCGUUCACAUAUUAAAUGGAUUACUCAUCAGCUCACAUGUUUACUAGUUUACAUGUUGUUCUUGUUAAAAGACAGAACGCGUUUGUCUUGUUUAUAUCAAGCCAUAACAUCACUGCACCUAUCCACCUGCCAAAUGUUUCUGAAUCAAAGCAGGAUCUCUGCCAAUCAGUCUCUCUGACAGCGGAAAAACAGGUCAGAGAACUUCCCGCAAUUAUUCUUACG
This is a long non-coding RNA of Larimichthys crocea (large yellow croaker), 3366 nucleotides long. RefSeq lists it as uncharacterized. The record is from RefSeq and is a predicted model, not a curated record. NCBI's taxonomy places the organism in Eukaryota, Metazoa, Chordata, Actinopteri, Sciaenidae. The transcript is spliced from 3 exons.